Molecule: ribosomal RNA, 441 nt
Filed under: uncultured bacterium
Lineage: Bacteria
Description: bacterial SSU rRNA
Rfam family: Bacterial small subunit ribosomal RNA
Source: RNAcentral
GACGAACGCUGGCGGCGUGCCUAACACAUGCAAGUCGAACGAAGCUUGAUUUCUGAUUUUUUCGGAAUGACGAAUGAUAUGACUGAGUGGCGGACGGGUGAGUAACGCGUGAGCAACCUGCCCUUCGGAACGGGAUAGUGUCUGGAAACGGACAGUAAUACCGUAUAACAUAUAUUGAUCGCAUGGUCGAUAUAUCAAAACUGAGGUGCCGAAGGAUGGGCUCGCGUCUGAUUAGAUAGUUGGUGGGGUAACGGCCUACCAAGUCGACGAUCAGUAGCCGGACUGAGAGGUUGAACGGCCACAUUGGGACUGAGACACGGCCCAGACUCCUACGGGAGGCAGCAGUGGGGAAUAUUGCACAAUGGGGGAAACCCUGAUGCAGCAACGCCGCGUGAAGGAAGACGGUUUUCGGAUUGUAAACUUCUGUUCUUAGUGAAGAAU